RNAcentral lists this ribosomal RNA (168 nucleotides) under uncultured bacterium. RNAcentral's name for it is "partial 16S rRNA". It matches the Rfam family "Bacterial small subunit ribosomal RNA", at positions 352 to 511 of the family's 1533-position model. The record is from RNAcentral.
CAGUAGGGAAUCUUCGGCAAUGGGGGCAACCCUGACCGAGCAACGCCGCGUGAGUGAAGAAGGUUUUCGGAUCGUAAAGCUCUGUUGUAAGAGAAGAACGUGUGUGAGAGUGGAAAGUUCACACAGUGACGGUAACUUACCAGAAAGGGACGGCUAACUACGUGCCAG